UUCGGUGACUAUAGCGGAGGGGAAACACCUGUUCCCAUCCCGAACACAGAAGUUAAGCCCUCCUGCGCCGAUGGUACUGCUCUGGCAGCGGAGUGGGAGAGUAGGUCGUUGCCGAAA
RNAcentral lists this ribosomal RNA (117 nucleotides) under Deltaproteobacteria bacterium. Lineage: Bacteria; Pseudomonadati; Myxococcota; Myxococcia. The record is from RNAcentral.